RNAcentral lists this ribosomal RNA (584 nucleotides) under uncultured Vibrio sp. Its description in RNAcentral is "bacterial SSU rRNA". It matches the Rfam family "Bacterial small subunit ribosomal RNA", at positions 556 to 1135 of the family's 1533-position model. The record is from RNAcentral. Lineage: Bacteria; Pseudomonadati; Pseudomonadota; Gammaproteobacteria; Vibrionales; Vibrionaceae.
GGGCGUAAAGCGCAUGCAGGCGGUCUGUUAAGUCAGAUGUGAAAGCCCCGGGCUUAACCUGGGAGUGGCAUUUGAGACUGGCAGGCUAGAGUCUUGUAGAGGGGGGUAGAAUUCCAGGUGUAGCGGUGAAAUGCGUAGAGAUCUGGAGGAAUAUCGGUGGCGAAGGCGGCCCCCUGGACAAAGACUGACGCUCANAUACGAAAGCGUGGGUAGCAAACAGGAUUAGAUACCCUGGUAGUCCACGCCGUAAACGAUGUCUACUUGAAGGUUGGGAUCUUGAAUUCUGGCCUUCGGAGCUAACGCGUUAAGUAGACCGCCUGGGGAGUACGGUCGCAAGAUUAAAACUCAAAUGAAUUGACGGGGGCCCGCACGAGCGGUGGAGCAUGUGGUUUAAUUCGAUGCAACGCGAAGAACCUUACCUACUCUUGACAUCCAGAGAAGCCAGCAGANAUGCAGGUGUGCCUUCGGGAACUCUGANACAGGUGCUGCAUGGCUGUCGUCAGCUCGUGUUGUGAAAUGNUUGGGUUAAGUCCCCGCAACGAGCGCAACCCUUAUCCUUGUUUGNCCAGCNACGUAAUGGUGGG